This 425-nucleotide ribosomal RNA is filed under the name uncultured bacterium. RNAcentral's name for it is "partial 16S ribosomal RNA". It matches the Rfam family "Bacterial small subunit ribosomal RNA", at positions 354 to 796 of the family's 1533-position model. The record is from RNAcentral.
GUGGGGAAUAUUGCACAAUGGGGGAAACCCUGAUGCAGCGACGCCGCGUGAGUGAAGAAGUAUUUCGGUACGUAAAGCUCUAUCAGCAAGGAAGAAAAUGACGGUACUUGACUAAGAAGCCCCGGCUAACUACGUGCCAGCAGCCGCGGUAAUACGUAGGGGGCAAGCGUUAUCCGGAUUUACUGGGUGUAAAGGGAGCGUAGACGGUAUGGUAAGUCAGAUGUGAAAGCCCGGGGCGCAACCCCGGGACUGCAUUUGAAACUAUCAGACUAGAGUGCAGGAGAGGUAAGUGGAAUUCCUAGUGUAGCGGUGAAAUGCGUAGAUAUUAGGAGGAACACCAGUGGCGAAGGCGGCUUACCGGACUGUAACUGACGUUGAGGCUCGAAAGCGUGGGGAGCAAACAGGAUUAGAUACCCGUGUAGUCC